AUUGAACGCUGGCGGCAGGCCUAACACAUGCAAGUCGAACGGUAACAGGAAGCAGCUUGCUGCUUCGCUGACGAGUGGCGGACGGGUGAGUAAUGUCUGGGAAGCUGCCUGAUGGAGGGGGAUAACUACUGGAAACGGUAGCUAAUACCGCAUAAUGUCGCAAGACCAAAGAGGGGGACCUUCGGGCCUCUUGCCAUCGGAUGUGCCCAGAUGGGAUUAGCUUGUUGGUGGGGUAACGGCUCACCAAGGCGACGAUCCCUAGCUGGUCUGAGAGGAUGACCAGCCACACUGGAACUGAGACACGGUCCAGGCUCCUAAGGGAGGGAGCAGUGGGGAAUUUUUGCCAAUUGGCGGAAGCCUGAUGGAGCCCUGCCGCGUGUAUGAAGAAGGCCUUCGGGUUGUAAAGUACUUUCAGGGGGGAGGAAGGGAGUAAAGUUAAUACCUUUGCUCAUUGACGUUACCCGCAGAAGAAGCACCGGCUAACUCCGUG
RNAcentral lists this ribosomal RNA (490 nucleotides) under uncultured bacterium. RNAcentral describes it as "partial 16S ribosomal RNA". It matches the Rfam family "Bacterial small subunit ribosomal RNA", at positions 30 to 507 of the family's 1533-position model. The record is from RNAcentral.